Molecule: ribosomal RNA, 373 nt
Filed under: uncultured bacterium
Lineage: Bacteria
Description: bacterial SSU rRNA
Rfam family: Bacterial small subunit ribosomal RNA
Source: RNAcentral
ACAUAGGGUGCAAGCGUUGUCCGGAAUUAUUGGGCGUAAAGCGUCCGCAGGUGGUCAGCCAAGUCUGCCGUCAAAUCAGGUUGCUUAACGACCUAAAGGCGGUGGAAACUGGCAGACUAGAGAGCAGUAGGGGUAGCAGGAAUUCCCAGUGUAGCGGUGAAAUGCGUAGAGAUUGGGAAGAACAUCGGUGGCGAAAGCGUGCUACUGGGCUGUAUCUGACACUCAGGGACGAAAGCUAGGGGAGCGAAAGGGAUUAGAUACCCCUGUAGUCCUAGCCGUAAACGAUGGAUACUAGGCGUGGCUUGUAUCGACCCGAGCCGUGCCGAAGCUAACGCGUUAAGUAUCCCGCCUGGGGAGUACGCACGCAAGUGUG